Molecule: ribosomal RNA, 497 nt
Filed under: uncultured bacterium
Lineage: Bacteria
Description: partial 16S ribosomal RNA
Rfam family: Bacterial small subunit ribosomal RNA
Source: RNAcentral
GACGAACGCUGGCGGCGUGCCUAAUACAUGCAAGUUGAGCGCUGAAGGUUGGUACUUGUACCAACUGGAUGAGCAGCGAACGGGUGAGUAACGCGUGGGGAAUCUGCCUUUGAGCGGGGGACAACAUUUGGAAACGAAUGCUAAUACCGCAUAAAAACUUUAAACACAAGUUUUAAGUUUGAAAGAUGCAAUUGCAUCACUCAAAGAUGAUCCCGCGCUGUAUUAGCUAGUUGGUGAGGUAAAGGCUCACCAAGGCGAUGAUACAUAGCCGACCUGAGAGGGCGAUCGGCCACAUUGGGACUGAGACACGGCCCAAACUCCUACGGGAGGCAGCAGUAGGGAAUCUUCGGCAAUGGACGAAAGUCUGACCGAGCAACGCCGCGUGAGUGAAGAAGGUUUUCGGAUCGUAAAACUCUGUUGGUAGAGAAGAACGUUGGUGAGAGUGGAAAGCUCAUCAAGUGACGGUAACUACCCAGAAAGGGACGGCUAACUACGUG